GUGGGGAAUAUUGGACAAUGGGCGAAAGCCUGAUCCAGCCAUGCCGCGUGAGUGAUGAAGGCCCUAGGGUUGUAAAGCUCUUUCACCGGUGAAGAUAAUGACGGUAACCGGAGAAGAAGCCCCGGCUAACUUCGUGCCAGCAGCCGCGGUAAUACGAAGGGGGCUAGCGUUGUUCGGAAUUACUGGGCGUAAAGCGCACGUAGGCGGACUAUUAAGUCAGGGGUGAAAUCCCGGGGCUCAACCCCGGAACUGCCUUUGAUACUGGUAGUCUCGAGUCCGGAAGAGGUGAGUGGAAUUCCGAGUGUAGAGGUGAAAUUCGUAGAUAUUCGGAGGAACACCAGUGGCGAAGGCGGCUCACUGGUCCGGUACUGACGCUGAGGUGCGAAAGCGUGGGGAGCAAACAGGAUUAGAAACCCCGGUAGUCC
RNAcentral lists this ribosomal RNA (425 nucleotides) under uncultured Phyllobacteriaceae bacterium. RNAcentral's name for it is "bacterial SSU rRNA". It matches the Rfam family "Bacterial small subunit ribosomal RNA", at positions 354 to 796 of the family's 1533-position model. The record is from RNAcentral. Lineage: Bacteria; Pseudomonadati; Pseudomonadota; Alphaproteobacteria; Hyphomicrobiales; Phyllobacteriaceae.